This 497-nucleotide ribosomal RNA is filed under the name uncultured bacterium. RNAcentral's name for it is "partial 16S ribosomal RNA". It matches the Rfam family "Bacterial small subunit ribosomal RNA", at positions 28 to 507 of the family's 1533-position model. The record is from RNAcentral.
GAUGAACGCUGGCGGCGUGCCUAAUACAUGCAAGUCGAGCGAACAGACGAGGAGCUUGCUCCUCUGACGUUAGCGGCGGACGGGUGAGUAACACGUGGAUAACCUACCUAUAAGACUGGGAUAACUUCGGGAAACCGGAGCUAAUACCGGAUAAUAUAUUGAACCGCAUGGUUCAAUAGUGAAAGACGGUUUUGCUGUCACUUAUAGAUGGAUCCGCGCCGCAUUAGCUAGUUGGUAAGGUAACGGCUUACCAAGGCAACGAUGCGUAGCCGACCUGAGAGGGGGAUCGGCCACACCGGAACUGAGACACGGUCCAGACUCCUACGGGAGGCAGCAGUAGGGAAUCUUCCGCAAUGGGCGAAAGCUUGACGGAGCAACGCCGCGUGAGUGAUGAAGGUCUUCGGAUCGUAAAACUCUGUUAUUAGGGAAGAACAAAUGUGUAAGUAACUAUGCACGUCUUGACGGUACCUAAUCAGAAAGCCACGGCUAACUACGUG